UAUAGUGUAGUAUAGGUCCCUUAUAGGUCUUGUAUAGGCAUAUCGACGUAUACGGGCGUUGUAUCAUAUCCUAUAGUAUCGUAUCGAAUUAUAUUGUAUCGUAUAGUAUAGUAUAAGUCUCGUAUAGCUCUCGUAUAGACCUAUAUGGGAUCUAUACGAGAUUUAUACUAUACACUAUACGAUACUAUCGUCUCAUAUAGUGUAGUAUAGGUCCCUUAUAGGUCUUGUAUAGGCCUAUCGACGUAUACGGGCGUUGUAUCAUAUCCUAUAGUAUCGUAUCGUAUCGUAUCGUAUCGUAUCGUAUCGUAUCGUAUCGUAUCGUAUAGUAUAGUAUAGUAUAGUGUAGUAUAAGUCUCGUAUAGCUCUCGUAUAGACCUAUAUGGGACCUAUACGAGACUUAUACUAUACACUAUACGAUAUAAUACGAACUAUCGUAUCAUAUAGAGUAGUAUAGGUCCCUUAUAGGUCUUGUAUAAGCCUAUAGGCCUAAACGGGACCAAAACCACACCUAUAGUCCUAUACGAGUGUUGUAUCGUAUCAUAUCGUAUCGUAUAGUGUAGUAUAAAUCUCGUAUAGGCAUUGUAUGGGCCUAUGGAUGUGGGCGUCUAUGAGGACCAAAUAUGAGUGAGUGUUUUUAUAAUUAAUAUUAGUGUUAUUAUAAUUAAUAUGAGUUUUUUAUAGUUAAUAUUAGUGUUAUUGAUAUU
RNAcentral lists this long non-coding RNA (704 nucleotides) under Helianthus annuus (common sunflower). RNAcentral describes it as "hypothetical non coding rna". Lineage: Eukaryota; Viridiplantae; Streptophyta; Magnoliopsida; Asterales; Asteraceae. The record is from RNAcentral.